RNAcentral lists this ribosomal RNA (209 nucleotides) under uncultured bacterium. Its description in RNAcentral is "partial 16S ribosomal RNA". It matches the Rfam family "Bacterial small subunit ribosomal RNA", at positions 568 to 776 of the family's 1533-position model. The record is from RNAcentral.
CGUGUAGGCGGGAGGGAAAGUCAGAUGUGAAAUCCCCAGGCUCAACCUGGGAACUGCAUUUGAAACUCCCCUUCUUGAGUACCGGAGAGGAAAGUGGAAUUCCUGGUGUAGAGGUGAAAUUCGUAGAUAUCAGGAGGAACACCAGUGGCGAAGGCGGCUUUCUGGACGGUAACUGACGCUGAGACGCGAAAGCGUGGGGAGGCAAAACA